GAUGAACGCUGGCGGCGUGCCUCUUUUAUGCAAGUCAAACGCGCAGCGAGAGGUGCUUGCACCUUUCAAGCGAGGGGCGAACGGGUGAGUAACACGUGAAUAACCUGCCUCAAGGCUGGGGAUAACAUUUGAAAACAAAUGCUAAUACCAAAUAAAACUUAGUAUCGCAUGAUAUCAAGUUAAAAGGCGCUCCGGCGUCCCCUAAAGAUGGAUCCGCGGGGCAUUAUUUAGUUGGGGGGGUAAAGGCUUACCAAAACAAUGAUGCAUACCCAAGUUGAAAGACUGAUCGGCCACUUUGGGACUGAAACACGGCCCAAACUCCUACGGGAGGCAGCAGUGGGAAAUAUUGCACAAUGGGGAAAACCCUGAUGCACCGACCCCGCGUGAAGAAAAAAGGUCUUCGGAUUGUAAACUCCUGUUGUUGAGGAAAAUAAUGACGGUACUCAACAAGGAAGUGACGGCUAACUACGUGCCAC
This 476-nucleotide ribosomal RNA is filed under the name uncultured bacterium. Its description in RNAcentral is "bacterial SSU rRNA". It matches the Rfam family "Bacterial small subunit ribosomal RNA", at positions 28 to 511 of the family's 1533-position model. The record is from RNAcentral.